GACGAACGCUGGCGGCGUGCUUAACACAUGCAAGUCGAACGGAAAGGCCCUGCUUUUGUGGGGUGCUCGAGUGGCGAACGGGUGAGUAACACGUGAGUAACCUGCCCUUGACUUUGGGAUAACUUCAGGAAACUGGGGCUAAUACAGGAUAGGAGCUCCUGCUGCAUGGUGGGGGUUGGAAAGUUUCGGCGGUUGGGGAUGGACUCGCGGCUUAUCAGCUUGUUGGUGGGGUAGUGGCUUACCAAGGCUUUGACGGGUAGCCGGCCUGAGAGGGUGACCGGCCACAUUGGGACUGAGAUACGGCCCAGACUCCUACGGGAGGCAGCAGUGGGGAAUAUUGCACAAUGGGCGGAAGCCUGAUGCAGCAACGCCGCGUGCGGGAUGACGGCCUUCGGGUUGUAAACCGCUUUCGCCUGUGACGAAGCGUGAGUGACGGUAAUGAGUAAAGAAGCACCGGCUAACUACGUG
RNAcentral lists this ribosomal RNA (468 nucleotides) under uncultured bacterium. Its description in RNAcentral is "partial 16S ribosomal RNA". It matches the Rfam family "Bacterial small subunit ribosomal RNA", at positions 28 to 507 of the family's 1533-position model. The record is from RNAcentral.